GUGCCAGCAGCCGCGGUAAUACGGAAGGUCCGGGCGUUAUCCGGAUUUAUUGGGUUUAAAGGGAGCGCAGGCCGGGGAUUAAGCGUGACGUGAAAUGUAGGUGCUCAACGUCUGCACUGCGUCGCGAACUGGUUCCCUUGAGUGAGUACGACGUCGGCGGAAUUCGUGGUGUAGCGGUGAAAUGCUUAGAUAUCACGAAGAACUCCGAUUGCGAAGGCAGCCGACGAGUCCUUAACUGACGCUAAUGCUCGAAAGUGCGGGUAUCGAACAGGAUUAGAUACCCUGGUAGUCCGCACGGUAAACGAUGGAUGCCCGCUGUUGGCGAUACACUGUCAGCGGCCAAGCGAAAGCGUUAAGCAUCCCACCUGGGGAGUACGCCGGCAACGGUGAAACUCAAAGGAAUUGACGGGGGCCCGCACAAGCGGAGGAACAUGUGGUUUAAUUCGAUGAUACGCGAGGAACCUUACCCGGGCUUGAACUGCAGGAGAAGGAUACAGAGAUGUUGACGCCCUUCGGGGCUCCUGUGGAGGUGCUGCAUGGUUGUCGUCAGCUCGUGCCGUGAGGUGUCGGCUUAAGUGCCAUAACGAGCGCAACCCCUUUCUUCAGUUGCCAUCACUUCGGGUGGGCACUCUGGAGACACUGCCACCGUAAGGUGUGAGGAAGGUGGGGAUGACGUCAAAUCAGCACGGCCCUUACGUCCGGGGCUACACACGUGUUACAAUGGGUGGUACAGAGAGCAGGCCGCCGGCAACGUCGGUCGAAUCAAUAAAGCCAUCCUCAGUUCGGAUUGGGGUCUGCAACCCGACCCCAUGAAGCUGGAUUCGCUAGUAAUCGCGCAUCAGCCAUGGCGCGGUGAAUACGUUCCCGGGCCUUGUACACACCGCCCGU
Molecule: ribosomal RNA, 888 nt
Filed under: uncultured bacterium
Lineage: Bacteria
Description: bacterial SSU rRNA
Rfam family: Bacterial small subunit ribosomal RNA
Source: RNAcentral